Molecule: ribosomal RNA, 253 nt
Filed under: uncultured bacterium
Lineage: Bacteria
Description: partial 16S ribosomal RNA
Rfam family: Bacterial small subunit ribosomal RNA
Source: RNAcentral
UACGUAGGCAGCGAGCGUUGUUCGGAGUUACUGGGCGUAAAGAGUGCGUAGGCGGUUUUCUAAGUUUGGUGUGAAAUCUCCCGGCUUAACUGGGAGGGUGCGCCGAAGACUGGAAGGCUUGAGUAUGGGAGAGGUAAGCGGAAUUCCUGGUGUAGCGGUGAUAUGCGUAGAUAUCAGGAGGAACACCUGCGGUGUAGACGGCUUACUGGACCAUAACUGACGCUGAGGCACGAAAGCGUGGGUAGCAAACAGG